CUUAAGACUCUCGGCAACGGAUAUCUCGGCUCUUACAUCGAUGAAGAACGUAGCGAAAUGCGAUACUUGGUGUGAAUUGCAGAAUCCCGUGAACCAUCGAGUCUUUGAACGCAAGUUGCGCCCGAGGCCUUUGGGUCGAGGGCACGCCUGCCUGGGCGUCACGC
RNAcentral lists this ribosomal RNA (164 nucleotides) under Gagea megapolitana. Its description in RNAcentral is "5.8S ribosomal RNA". It matches the Rfam family "5.8S ribosomal RNA". Rfam says of the family: 5.8S ribosomal RNA (5.8S rRNA) is a component of the large subunit of the eukaryotic ribosome. Lineage: Eukaryota; Viridiplantae; Streptophyta; Magnoliopsida; Liliales; Liliaceae. The record is from RNAcentral.